Molecule: ribosomal RNA, 534 nt
Filed under: uncultured soil bacterium
Lineage: Bacteria
Description: bacterial SSU rRNA
Rfam family: Bacterial small subunit ribosomal RNA
Source: RNAcentral
GCUUGCGACGUGCCUAAUAAAUGCAAGUCGAGCGAGGUAGCAAUACCUAGCGGCGAACGGUCGCGUAACACGUAAGCAACCUGCCCCAAAGACCGGGACAACGUUCCGAAAGGAGCGCUAAUACCGGAUGUGCCCAUUGGGUGACAUCACCUGAUGAGUAAACCGAGCAAUCGGCUUUGGGAGGGGCUUGCGGCCUAUCAGCUAGAUGGUGGGGUAACGGCCUACCAUGGCGACGACGGGUAGCUGGUCUGAGAGGAUGGUCAGCCGGAUUGGGACUGAGAUACGGCCCAGACUCCUACGGGGGGCAGCAAUUAGGAAUCUUGCGCAAUGGGCGAAAGCCUGACGCAGCGACGUCGCGUGGGGGAGGAAGGCUUUCGGGUUGUAAACCCCUUUUAUCGAGGAAGAAACAAAUGACGGUACUCGAUGAAUAAGCCCCGGCUAACUCCGUGCCAGCAGCCGCGGUAAUACGGAGGGGGCUAGCGUUGUCCGAAGUUACUGGGCGUAAAGCGCGCGUAGGCGGGUUGGUAAGUCCGC